CAACAGCGAAAGGAGGUGGUCGAAUGUCUCAUUGUUUCCAGCCGCGCGCGGCCCGGCCGUCGGACGCGACCUCCCCUCCGGCGGGGGUUUGCGCCUGAACCGAAGCCGUCAAGGCUGAACAAUGCGGGGCCGCUUCCGAAAGGGGGCGGCCC
This 152-nucleotide small RNA is filed under the name Brevundimonas viscosa. Its description in RNAcentral is "caulobacter sRNA CC2171". It matches the Rfam family "caulobacter sRNA CC2171", at positions 1 to 138 of the family's 159-position model. The record is from RNAcentral. Lineage: Bacteria; Pseudomonadati; Pseudomonadota; Alphaproteobacteria; Caulobacterales; Caulobacteraceae.